UGUGACGGUGAUGAGUUGCACUGUUGGCAGAGCUGCUGAUUGCAGUGGCACGGCUGCUCUGUCCUGAUAUCCUGUGGUGACACUUCAUGUGCACAGGGGCCAUCUGAGUCACA
Molecule: small nucleolar RNA, 113 nt
Organism: Thalassophryne amazonica
Lineage: Eukaryota; Metazoa; Chordata; Actinopteri; Batrachoidiformes; Batrachoididae
Product: small nucleolar RNA SNORD67
Exons: 1
Source: RefSeq, a predicted model, not a curated record